CCCUUAGAUGUUCUGGGCCGCACGCGUGCAACACUGAGUGGAUCAGCGGGUCAGGUUGCGCGAAAGCGUUUCCUAAUCUUUAAAUCCGCUCGUGAUGGGGAUUGACGGUUGCAAUUUUCUGUCAUGAACGAGGAAUACCUUGUAAGCGCGGGUCAUCAUCCCGCGCUGAAUACGUCCCUGCCCUUUGUACACACCGCCCGUCGCUCCUACCGAUUGAGUGGUCCGGUGAGGCUUUGGGAUCUGAGCGGAAAGAGCGUUUCGCUGUUUCUGCUCGGAAAACUCAGUCGAACCUUAUCAUUUAGAGGAAGGAGAAGUCGUAACA
This 322-nucleotide ribosomal RNA is filed under the name uncultured eukaryote. RNAcentral describes it as "partial 18S ribosomal RNA". It matches the Rfam family "Eukaryotic small subunit ribosomal RNA", at positions 1470 to 1796 of the family's 1831-position model. The record is from RNAcentral.